Molecule: non-coding RNA, 76 nt
Organism: Podarcis lilfordi (Lilford's wall lizard)
Lineage: Eukaryota; Metazoa; Chordata; Lepidosauria; Squamata; Lacertidae
Source: the annotation of a GenBank genome assembly
GCUGGGAUAGCUCAAGUUUGUAGAGCAUGAGAUUCUUAAUAUCCGGGUUGUGGGUUCAAGCACCCCAUCUUGGGCA